GUGGGGAAUCUUCCGCAAUGGACGAAAGUCUGACGGAGCGACGCCGCGUGAGUGAAGAAGGCCUUCGGGUCGUAAAGCUCUGUCAUCAGGGACGAACGGCCGGUGGAGUGGAAAGCCACCGGAUUGACGGUACCUGAGAAGGAAGCCACGGCUAACUACGUGCCAGCAGCCGCGGUAAUACGUAGGUGGCAAGCGUUGUCCGGAAUUAUUGGGCGUAAAGCGCGCGCAGGUGGGAUCUUAAGUCCAUUUUGAAAGUUCGGAGCUCAACUCCGUGAUGGGAUGGAAACUGGGAGUCUUGAGUACCGGAGAGGAAAGCGGAAUUCCCCGUGUAGCGGUGAAAUGCGUAGAUAUGGGGAGGAACACCAGUGGCGAAGGCGACUUUCUGGACGAUGUCUGACGCUGAGGCGCGAAAGCUAGGGGAGCGAACGGGAUUAGAAACCCCAGUAGUCC
This 450-nucleotide ribosomal RNA is filed under the name uncultured bacterium. Its description in RNAcentral is "partial 16S ribosomal RNA". It matches the Rfam family "Bacterial small subunit ribosomal RNA", at positions 354 to 796 of the family's 1533-position model. The record is from RNAcentral.